AUUGAACGCUGGCGGCAUGCUUUACACAUGCAAGUCGAACGGCAGCGCGGGCUUCGGCCUGGCGGCGAGUGGCGAACGGGUGAGUAAUGCAUCGGAACGUGCCCAGUAGUGGGGGAUAGCCCGGCGAAAGCCGGAUUAAUACCGCAUACGACCUGAGGGUGAAAGCGGGGGACCGAAAGGCCUCGCGCUAUUGGAGCGGCCGAUGUCGGAUUAGCUAGUUGGUGGGGUAAAGGCUUACCAAGGCGACGAUCCGUAGCUGGUCUGAGAGGACGACCAGCCACACUGGGACUGAGACACGGCCCAGACUCCUACGGGAGGCAGCAGUGGGGAAUUUUGGACAAUGGGGGCAACCCUGAUCCAGCCAUGCCGCGUGCGGGAAGAAGGCCUUCGGGUUGUAAACCGCUUUUGUUCGGGAAGAAAUCCUCUGGGCUAAUACCCCGGGGGGAUGACGGGACCGGAAGAAUAAGCACCGGCUAACUACGU
RNAcentral lists this ribosomal RNA (483 nucleotides) under uncultured bacterium. Its description in RNAcentral is "partial 16S ribosomal RNA". It matches the Rfam family "Bacterial small subunit ribosomal RNA", at positions 28 to 506 of the family's 1533-position model. The record is from RNAcentral.